AGAGGAAGUAAAAGUCGUAACAAGGUUUCCGUAGGUGAACCUGC
This 44-nucleotide ribosomal RNA is filed under the name uncultured Sebacinales. Its description in RNAcentral is "partial 18S ribosomal RNA". Lineage: Eukaryota; Fungi; Basidiomycota; Agaricomycetes; Sebacinales. The record is from RNAcentral.